GCGUGCGCAGGCGGUUAUGUAAGACAGAUGUGAAAUACCCCGGGCCUCAACCUGGGAACUGCAUUUGUGACUGCAUGGCUAGAGUACGGUAGAGGGGGAGUGGAAUUCCGCGUGUAGCAGUGAAAUGCGUAGAUAUGCGGAGGAACACCGAUGGCGAAGGCAAUCCCCUGGACCUGUACUGACGCUCAUGCACGAAAGCGUGGGGAGCAAACAGGAUUAGAUACCCGAGU
Molecule: ribosomal RNA, 230 nt
Filed under: uncultured bacterium
Lineage: Bacteria
Description: partial 16S ribosomal RNA
Rfam family: Bacterial small subunit ribosomal RNA
Source: RNAcentral